UACGUAGGGGGCGAGCGUUGUCCGGAAUUACUGGGCGUAAAGCGUGCGCAGGCGGUUUGCUAAGACAGGUGUGAAAUCCCCGGGCUUAACCUGGGAACUGCGCUUGUUACUGGCAAGCUGGAGUGUGGCAGAGGGGGGUGGAAUUCCACGUGUAGCAGUGAAAUGCGUAGAGAUGUGGAGGAACACCGAUGGCGAAGGCAGCCCCCUGGGCUAACACUGACGCUCAUGCACGAAAGCGUGGGGAGCAAACAGG
Molecule: ribosomal RNA, 253 nt
Filed under: uncultured bacterium
Lineage: Bacteria
Description: partial 16S ribosomal RNA
Rfam family: Bacterial small subunit ribosomal RNA
Source: RNAcentral